GUAGCAGACCCUCUGAGGAGCAGAUGACCAACCUCCACUGGUAGCAGACCCUCUGAGGAGCAGAUGAUAGCCCUCUACUAGUAACAGACCCUCUGAGGGAGCAGAUGACAACCUCCACUAGUAACCAGACCCUGUACAGGGAGCAGAUGACGACUUCCACUGAAAUGGCAGACCCUCUGCUGGGAGCAGGUGACGGCCUCCGCACAGUAACCAGACCCUCUACGGGGAGCAGAUGACAACCUCCACUGAAGCCAGCAGACCCUCACGGGGGCAGAUGAUGAUGACCUCUACUAGUAACCAGACCCUCUACGGGGAGCAGAUGACAACCUCCACUAGUAACCAGACCCUGUACAGGGAGCAGAUGAUGACCUCCACUGGUAACCAGACCCUCUAUGGGGAGCAGGUGACGACCUCCACUAGUAACCAGACCCUCUGUGGGGAGCAGAUGAUGACCUCCACUGGUAACCAGACCCUCUAUGGGGAGCAGGUGACGACCUCCACUGGUAAUCAGACCCUCUAUGGGGGGCAGAAUAUGACCUCCAUUGAUAACCAGGCUCUCUGUGGAGGCCAGAUGGCAACAUAUAGUGGCAACCCGACCCUCUAUGGGGACCAGAUGCUGACUCUUCAGGUGGGCAAUAUGACAAUGCUCACUAAUGACCACAGCCUUUAUGGGGGAUAUAUAUCCCAUCAGUUCUCAUCAUUGCCACACCCAGGAUUCCCAUGCUUUUCAAGUUCCCAUUUGAUUCAAGGACAAGUUCCAGAAAAGCAGAAGACACAGAGCUGCCAGUUCUGGAAGAAUCCUGAGGUUUCGAGGCCCUACAUCUGCACUUACGAGAACUGCAAGAAGUCUUAUAAAAAGGCUUGCCACCUCCGAACCCAUAUGCGCAAGCACACCGGUGAGUGAGGGCCUGGGAACGGGGUGAGGGGCAAGUGGCUACAGAUUUGUGCCUUUACAAAGCCCUGGGAGCAUUUGAGAUUGCUGCCACUUCCUUUAAGCCAAGAAUUCAAGAAGAUUCUAUAAUAGAAAAGGUUGGCACCUUCAGAAGCGGGGAUAAAGCAGUCCUAGGGACAGGCUCUAGUCUUGGACCAGAGCCAGGCUGGCUAUAGCCUUUAGUGAUGUUGACUGCUGGUUUGAUGGGAAGAAGUGAAGGGAUUUCUUUGGCCUCUUGCAGGUAGAUGUUCUUGACGCUAUUUCUACUGGGAUCGUCACUUCAUAGUGACAGCGCCCCCAGGCCUCACUUCCCUCAUCCUCCUUAUUCCCCCUACUAACUUGCCUGCCAAUAACUGUCUCUCCUCCUGUUUUUUUUUCUUCUUCUUCCUUUCCUUUUGUUCCCUUCUUCACAGUUUUCCUCUUGUCUUUCUAGCUUUUGUGGCCCUCAUUCCCCUCCUUCACUCACCUCCCCCACCUCCGUCUCCUUUGGCUCUCCCUCUCCCACUCCAACUUGCUCAAAAACUUUUUCUUGUUCACUUUCAAUGUCCCUGCCCUACCUCACCCUGAUGUAUGACGCGUCUCUCUCUCUCUGUCUGGUCCAGGGGAGAAGCCCUACAUAUGCGAUGUAGAGGGAUGUACGUGGAAAUUCACCCGCUCAGAUGAGCUCAACAGACACAAGAAAAGGCACACAGGGGAACGGCCCUACCUGUGUUCAAUAUGCAACAAGAAUUUUGCAAGAUCUGAUCACCUAAAGCAGCAUGCAAAGGUCCACAACGUUCACCCAGGAUUAUGAACCCUUCAGCCCAUGAGGAAAUGUGUACAGCUAAAAGAUUCUCCCUACUGAGUUUGUUUCCCUUGAACA
Molecule: long non-coding RNA, 1793 nt
Organism: Papio anubis (olive baboon)
Lineage: Eukaryota; Metazoa; Chordata; Mammalia; Primates; Cercopithecidae
Source: Ensembl